RNAcentral lists this unclassified non-coding RNA (231 nucleotides) under plant metagenome. RNAcentral describes it as "partial contains small subunit ribosomal RNA, internal transcribed spacer 1, and 5.8S ribosomal RNA". The record is from RNAcentral.
GCUCCGUUGGUGAACCAGCGGAGGGAUCAUUACAGAGUUGCAAAACUCCCAAACCAUUGUGAACGUUACCUAUCCCGUUGCUUCGGCGGGCGGCCCGGGCCCCGCGCCCGGCGCCCCCCGGCCCCCCGUGGGCGCCCGCCGGAGGUAAACCAAACCCUUGAAUUGCAUGGCCUCUCUGAGUCCUCUGUACUGAAUAAGUCAAAACUUUCAACAACGGAUCUCUUGGUUCUG